Molecule: long non-coding RNA, 1021 nt
Organism: Cydia splendana
Lineage: Eukaryota; Metazoa; Arthropoda; Insecta; Lepidoptera; Tortricidae
Exons: 2
Source: RefSeq, a predicted model, not a curated record
UUGUGGCGAGCUGUUGGGGAGUAACGACCCCACGGACCCGAGUGCUCCCGAGAGUCGGUCAGGGUCUCCGUCUCCGGCGUGUCUUCGUCGGUCGGAGUGGACCCCAAGGGGACCCGCAGGACUCUCAGCUCUGGCUUGCCUUCAUUGGCCGUCCAGAGAGGAGUCGCUAGAGCUAUAUGCUCCAGGGGUGGAAGUGAAAGAUGCAUAAGACGCGAGUUGGCACAGUGGCUGGUGACAGCCACUGGGUAGAAAGCGGCGCACACCUCUCGACACCCCUGAGCCGCUCACACCGAUGUUGCUACUGGUCGUCUUCCCGACGGCAGUUUCAGGGGCCAAUCUAGUCAGCGGCGAGUCACCGCCUGCCUCGAUGACGGUGUUAACAUUGUUAUGGCAGGUGUCCGGACCUCUUUACAAUAGCCCAGUUUCAUUGUCCACCCAAACAUCAAUCCAAAGACCGGUAUACUGUUCACUUUUUCUACAAUAGUCCCAAUGCCUGCUGCGACCGGUUCAUGGGUGUCUAUUGUUGCGCCUGUGAACGGGUUCCAGCAGGCGUUUACAUGACAUUAAAGCUCUCCAAAGGGCCUCUACGUGUUGGAUGUGUCCCCAGGCAAGCCUAUCAAAAGACCGGGAUUUAUAGGCCCGUGAAAUCCAAAACGGAGAAACACAUAAUUAUAGUUUUAAACUAACUUUUCUUUUGUAUUUAGAAUGUGUCUGUGCAUAUGUAUCUGCACAUACCGCUGGUGUUGCACCGCAUUAUGCGGUCCCAAUAGAAGCAGUGCCCCCGCAAUGCGGGGUUUCGACUCUUCCGACUUUAUUAAUUCAACAAAUAUUCGGCCCCCGCAUGUGCGAGACGCGGGCAGCGAAGUUAAUAAUAAGGAAUCUACACGAGAUCUUGCUCUUGGAGUCACAAAGGAAGUUUUAGAGUUAUGGAAAAAUAAAAAAGUGAAAAGUAAAGACACCAAAGAUUUCGAAGAAACUAGUUCAAAAAAGAAAGUAAACAAGUAAAGUUUUACAACUUCAA